This 333-nucleotide ribosomal RNA is filed under the name uncultured bacterium. Its description in RNAcentral is "bacterial SSU rRNA". It matches the Rfam family "Bacterial small subunit ribosomal RNA", at positions 568 to 898 of the family's 1533-position model. The record is from RNAcentral.
CGCGUAGGCGGGAUGGCAAGUCGGUCGUGAAAUCCUUCGGCUCAACCGAAGAACGUCGGCCGAUACUGCCGUUCUUGAGGGAUGCAGAGGAGACUGGAAUUCCCGGUGUAGCGGUGAAAUGUGUAGAGAUCGGGAGGAACACCGGUGGCGAAGGCGGGUCUCUGGGCAUCUCCUGACGCCGAGGCGCGAAAGCGUGGGGAGCAAACGGGAUUAGAUACCCCGGUAGUCCACGCCAUAAACGAUGACGACUAGGUGGUGGGGUGGUUCAGUCCACUCCGUGCCGCAGCUAACGCAUUAAGUCGUCCGCCUGGGGAGUACGGCCGCAAGGUUGAA